Molecule: ribosomal RNA, 254 nt
Filed under: uncultured bacterium
Lineage: Bacteria
Description: partial 16S ribosomal RNA
Rfam family: Bacterial small subunit ribosomal RNA
Source: RNAcentral
GACGUAGGGGGCGAGCGUUGUCCGGAUUCAUUGGGCGUAAAGCGCGCGUAGGCGGCCCGUUUAGUCGGUAUGUGAAAAUCCGGGGCUCAACCCCGGACCUGCAUCCGAUACUGGCGGGCUCGAGGCAGGCAGGGGAGAUCGGAAUUCCUGGUGUAGCGGUGAAAUGCGCAGAUAUCAGGAGGAACACCGGUGGCGAAGGCGGAUCUCUGGGCCUGUCCUGACGCUCAGGCGCGAAAGCUAGGGGAGCAAACAGG